Molecule: long non-coding RNA, 12722 nt
Organism: Haplochromis burtoni (Burton's mouthbrooder)
Lineage: Eukaryota; Metazoa; Chordata; Actinopteri; Cichliformes; Cichlidae
Exons: 3
Source: RefSeq, a predicted model, not a curated record
CUCAAAAUCUUUCAACACCUGUACACCAUUUUGCUUCUCCCAUUCACAAACUGAAUUCAGGGCUAACUGGCUGCCAGGGGUUGGAAGAGUUCACUGAACCUUCAAAGUGCACAGCUGUUAUCUUUGACUAGUGGCCAAAAACAAAAUUAUAGCUUUGGUAAGAGAAUUCUCAGAAUUCAGCUCACCAUAGGAUAGCCGUGCUUGAGCGUCACACAGAGGGAAAGAGGGCCCUUUGUCCGUGGGCCCGCUGUUUGGUUGAAUAUGCCGGAGUCAUGGAGUACAUCACGUAGGUGCAAAUUUCCUGUUUUGAGUCCUAGCAGGCUGACUCAUUUGCUGAAUGUUUCUUACCACAUUCCUAGCCUAAACCUCAACUGUCACUAAAAAAAUAAGUUUAACAGAAAAAGCUCCACAAUGUAAGAUGGUAAGAGGCUAAAAAGGAGCGCUGCUUUUCUGCAGGUUGGAUUAAUAAAAAGUGUAGUGCCACAUGCAAACCUACAUAAAUGUAAUUUUGGAGGUUUGAAUACUCAGAAUGUGUGUGCAUCAUAAAUUAUUCAUACUGAAAGAGACGAGAAUCAUUUGUUCAUUAAAACAAUGUAUUAGGAAAACUUGAAAUUAGAGGCUUCAACAUUCAUGAUCUGCUCAAGGCUUGACCUGACCAUGCACAGCAAUAACACAUCACGAUUAGAAGUAGGCAGCUCGAUCCUGAUAUCAACAGUAUUUCAGUAGCCUAUGUGGCCCGCCUGAAUUGUGCUAAAUAAAAAGUUGGGGGGAGAAAUGAAAAAAAAAAUACAUAAUAAACAUGCACUAGGAAAAAUGUCUGAACCUUUUUGUGUUGAUGUAUAUUUUAUUUAGAGCCCAUAACACAUUUAAACAACAGCAGUGUUUUAGAGACAAGCAUGUUAACAUUUCAGGCCUUUAAAAAAACAAUUGCAAAAUACAUGGAAAGCUGAAAGAUGUGUUUAGUUGUUUUAACUAAUUACGGAAAGUGGGUUAGUCAGGAUUUGUAAAUUGAUGAUGAUUCAGCUCAUAAAUCAUGGCACGCUGCUCUCCCCUACCAUAGACUGCUUUUAUUGGUUAAAAGAAUUGGCAAUACUGGCCCUGUAUUUACUUGGUAUUGCGAGUAAAUUAUUAAUGUGUAUGGUCAGGAAGUGAUCUAAAUUUUAUAAGUUCCUAAAUACAAUAGUAAAGUCUUUAAGGGCCAGACUAUGUCAUGUAACCUGCAUCUCUAUCUUUGCCCUGUACAGCUGAACAACCCCCCUGCAUAGAGCAGGUCCUGAGGGGGGUUUGGCUCAAGUCCAGUGCACACUUUGAUGCAAUGUUUUUAGGAGUUUGAGGGCAACAGGGCAGCAGUUAUUUCUUCCCUCCAGGAUGGUGAGGGCUAUGGGGUGCUUGUUUUACUCAGCAGUAUGGGAGGAAAAAAAGUUGUGGUGGAACCGCAGUGACAGAUAAACUCGAAUAAGGAAAUGCACAACGGAAACUGGGAUAUACAAGCUGAAUUUAUGCAUCUAUAAAAUAGGCCGUGACUAACAGUCAUUUUCAUUCCAAAUUAAUUUCCUUAAGUAUUUGAUUGCUUUGUGAAAUGGCAGAAAAUGUUAAAUGCACAGCAAUUUCCUAAAAAAAUAAUGUUUUCUGUCCCGAGAAAAUAAUCACAAUUGAGGCAGCUGGAAGUGCGCAAUGCUGAACAGUGAAUUGAGUAACUUAAAUGCCACGUCAAUGUAAAAUACUGGAUUUUUCUGUAAAUUCACUAAUCAAUUAAUUGACUUGCUCUAGGACACCCAUUACUAACAGAGCAGUGAAUUAAAAUCCAUAUUAAAUUAUCAUAGAUGACAGAUCUUUCCUCAUUUUUUUUUCCUAUAGAAAGUUAUUUUUGAGCUUCAGAGAGCGUGAGAGAGAGUCCACUGGACCAUUUCUUCAAACCCCUCUGGAUGAUGCUUAGUCCCUCUGAACAUGUACACAGAGUCUCUGACCUUUCAUCUAAGCUAAACAAAGAAGGUUCUGAACAGACCCUGGCACCAGUGGGAGAGGUCAAUCCAUUGUGGUAGAGGACACAGAUGUUCCUGCUAUUAAAGAUUCAAAAGCUUCCGUGUAGAUGCGUAUUUGUGUACAACUGGGUGGGCCAGAGAAAGGCAGAAAGCUGUGGACAGAGAUGAUGAAAGUGUCCUGUUUUGGCUCUUUCUCUCCAUGUGCAUCUGUUACUUGUGUCUGUGUUUUUCGGGUGGGGCCUCCGGUCGUCUCGUAACGAAAUUUAAAAAGGUAAAAGAUGCGCGACCACUGCAAACCUGAUGGCACUGAUCGGCCAUAACAAACAGCAUGGGAAUGAUUGAUUCAGAUAGCAUAAACAACGUGAAGUUAGAAGACUGAUACAACACAAUGCAACGUGAAACAGUUCAACUUUGACCUUGGAUGCUAACAAUGAAAGUCAAGGUCAAUUAUGUCCCCCCAAGGCCUAGUAUAUUGUCGUGAAGUUUGCCGUCAAUCCAUUAAAAAAUUGUGGGUAAUAUAACAUUUUUUUUUAAAUAAUUUUCACAUUUGAUGUGACCUUCACCCUGAUUUACACCAAUAUUAAAUCAGCUCAAGUUCUUAUUGGCGUCUACCAUCACAACAAAUUUGAACAUGAUACCGUGAAAAAUGUAGACACUAGACUCUAACAAACAGACAGACCAGUGGAGCCGAUUACAUUCUCCCUCCCUUCAUAGAGAGACUUACAUUAAUAGUAAGCUCAUCGGCAAUUCAAGCAGACUGCUAUAUCGAAGGUUAAAGUACAUUUCAUGAUAAAAUAUUCUUUGUCGUGAUUGUACAACAACUCAUGUGUGGACUGGCCAUCUACUUAUACCUUGUUCUAUAUCGAACAAUGUCAAACUGCUGCUUUUCAGCAGGAGAUAAUAUCAAUUACACCUACAUUUUUUUUUUGCUUGCUUUUAUCCAUUUUUAGUGCCGUGCCAUCAACUGUUUUCAUAGUAGUUUUUUUUUUACGUAUGUUUUUAACGUGGGGAGCCCACGUUAAAAACAUACGUAAAAAAAGAAAUAGAUAACGCUAUAAGAAAUAGAUAACGAGAUCCCAAUAAAUAAAGAAUAGAAACACAUUGCUUUGAUGGUGAACUUUGAAGGAAUGGAUCUUGUAAUUGUUUGAAAAAGUGCACCUAAAGAUCAGACCUUAUCAGUAGCAAAAUGCACGAGUUACGUGAAUGCAGCGUUCACUAAUGACUACAUUUCUUUUGCAUUGCAAUGCAUCUGUUUUCUACAAUCACAUGAACUCUUUACCCCUCCAAACGUCUGCAUCCAUGUCAGCGAUGAGUUUUGGGAUGGUUGCUUCUGCACAGAUUAGGAUAAGGCCCCCCUAUUCAUAUCUGAAGACCCUCUUGUUAGCGCCUCUUGACACUUGUUAUCUGACACUGACGUGCAGUUCAAUAACUCCGACUCCCUGCGCUCACGUCUUCUGUGACAGUGGAGACAGAAUUCAUUUCGGGUCUAAUGACAGAAUAACUAUUCAUGCAAGGAAUAUGUUACACAUUUUACAAAAAAAACUGAAAAAAGAUGCCUCUUUACUCUUAACUGUUACUCCAUUUGAAGAGAGGAAACUGUUACACUCACUAUAUUUUUUUCAUAUUUAGACAUUUGAAAGAAAUUAUAAUGCUAAUAAUGAAUGUAAGAAGAUCUGUGUUUGGAAGUGACUCAUUAUUAAGCCUUAAAAGAAGCUCAUUAGAGGAGAAACAGACGAAAGCCUUGUGCAAGGAAGACGUAUGCAGCUGUGUUCAGGUGCAUUACCAUCAGCUAAAGAAAUGGGCAGGUUAAUUAGCUUCCCUGCAGGGAAAAGACAAAACAAGAGGACAACAACAACGAAAAAAACUCUCUUUGUUUUUUUGGUUGUGUGAUUUUGGUAACACUAAAGAAUAAAAGGGCCUUUGGUUUUUGUAGCACGAUAAAAAGCUACAUUUUAUAAAAUGCCCAGAAUUGUCCUAUUUAUAAUUUCCUCUAUUAAAAACUAGAUUCAGAUUAUUAGAAUUAGGCAGGUUUUUAAAAGGUCAAGUACAUUUGCUUUGGUGAAUUAUCAUUCUUAAGACUUUGGCUUUUUUAUACUGCUAAACUAAAUAUUUGAUCAAUGUGCUCCAAUCCUUUUUUUCCAUUGAGGGAACUUUUGCAAAGUAAUAUUUUGUAAAAGAAGGUCUGUCUUUGUUCCAGAAGAUAUUGUUGUUAGGACACGUACAUGUAAGUGGACAAAAAAAAUGGCAUACAUACACAAACGAACAGUCAAAUCACAAACAUUUCAACUUCAGGAAAAAGUCCUAAAAUAUUGAUUUCUUUUUUUUAGAAUUUUUUAUUAUUAUAUGUAAACACGUGUGUGUGUGUGUGUGUGUGUGUAGUCUAGAAUACAUCCUUUACUUGCUAGCACUACAAUAAGUAUAGAAUACCAUACCACCAAGUAUGUGGAGCAUAAAGGUAAAUGAAACCAGAAACGUCAUAUGGACAGAAUUGUGAAUCUCCCUGUGGGGCGAGAAAGGAUCGAUGCCUUCAAGGAGACAUGUGACCUACUUGGCUUAACCUGCCUUUGUUCAGUUUGGUCUCGGAGCCAGCUGUGACACGUCUGCUGCUGUCAGCUGGAAUCAUUGGAUUGCGGGCCAGACGGAAGGAAAGGAGACAGUUUGCAUGUGUGUGCUUCUCCAGCGUGUCUGCGUAGGCAAAGAUGCCAGCUUGAAGUGCUGCGUGUCUGUGCGCAGCCGGGCCGCCUGGGAACACACUGACCAUAUGCACAGUAAUGUUGGCAGACAAGCCGUGUUAACGGCAGGAGAAAGGCCAUUCAACUCUGCUCACUUGGUCUGGCUUGGCUCCUGAAGUCUAGACAGCACCUGGAGAUGGUAAGUGCAGUACACACAUCAUAUAUGUGCCGUACUCUAACGAGAAUACAUGGUGGUAGAACAACUCCCACUUCAUCUGCUGGAAUGUGUUUCUUCACGUGGGAUUCGGUUAAAGUUUCUGCUCUACAUUUUCUGUUUGCGUGACUGUCUAUUAAGACAGGGUGACAGGAAGUGAAUACAAUAUUAGAUACACAGUAGUAUUUGGACAUGACCGACUUGACGGGUAAAAAAAUAAAAAUUCACAAAAUCUUUGCUUUAUCAGUUUGAUCACAGUAUAUUUAAAUCUCCAUACGACUAAGAAAAUAGAGCCUUUAGGGACAGGGAAACACAGUAAGAUAGGAACACUUUGCUAUUUCAGUACCCUGUAAAUUGUUUUUGUGCUUCAAAAAUAUUCAUCAAUUCAGUGUCAGGAAUUGUUUUUGUUCCCCCCCCCCAAGUCUCUCUUUCCAAUGACUGGCUGGGGGUUUUACAGUAAUGCUAUGUUCCUUAUCUGUCAUGACUUUUCAAGAUACUGGAAGAUACUGGAAGUGGUACCGUAAAUGAGCCUCUAGUGAGACAAAGCUUUCGGCUUUAAUUGGACCGCUAUUUAUAACGAAUAAAGUAGCUGACAGUCACUAUGCCUUUAUUCGUUGCAGGCAAUACGUGUGGAUUUUAUUUCACAGAGAGCUUAAUUUUUCCCUCCCCUGACUGUCAGCUCUGAGGCUUUGAAUGGAGAGUUGACAACACUGCGGCGCAGCCAGAUGACAGAAUGACUGGUUGAAAUCAGAAUUCAAAUGCAGGUUCGGAUUUGAUCGAGUUUGGCAAAAGCUGAAGAACAAUUACACCCAUUCGUCGUCAAAUUCUGACAAAAUCUAAAUUCCGAUUUAUUUGUCUUUUAAUCUUAACAGACAUUAGUGCUACUAGAAUUUUCCCAAAGUGUGCAAAUAAGCAAUAAUCUAACAGCUGCCUGAAAAGCAGACAAAAAGGGAGACAAAGGAAAAAGCUGGCUUCUUCAGCAAGCCUUUAGGUAUUGUGUGUGUUCAUCUGUGACCAGCUUACAUUUAUCUUUGUACUCGCUCUCACAAAAAGCUCACUUUUUCUUACUUUAAGGAUGUUAAAGUAAUUCUUUGUCCAGAGCUGGACUGGAUAAUCUGAUCAUUCGGGCAACAUCCAGAACAGCCAGUGGGGUGACCACAGUUAAUGGCCAUCAAGCCUGGAUAGAGGUGACCCCUCCUCCCCAAGACGGAUUGGCUGGUAGCAAGUGUCCAUAGAAGUUUGAUUAGCAUGCGCUCAUAUCCUCCUUACCUGUAGUAUCUUAACUAUGCUUAAAUGUUCAAACUGUAUGUCUUCUGAUACACGGUGGAACUACAAGUUAUUCAUCACUAUUAUUAUUAUUAUUUUAACACGACUGCUUUCAGACCUCUGUAGCCCAACAUAUUAGCGAUAUUUAUAAAAAGGGUUAGUGACGAUUAGCCUCACACAGUUUUCUGUAUUACUAGCUGCUAAUUUCAUUCAUUUCAUUUUACAAUCAGACAUUUAUAAUUUGAUUUCAACUUCAGCCCCUCCAUUCCCUUUUCUUUCUCUCUUUCCUCUCUCCUUGGCUCUCCUCUGCCAGGAUUCGCUGAACGUUACAAACCAGCCUAUCAUCUCAUCACAUACCUGCGUACUUAAGGACCAGGGUCUCUCGCUCCAUCUCCUUCAGUUUGUACAGCUAUUGUUGUGGUGAAGUCAGGCUCACUUAGCUUCAUGUUUUGUUUUGCUUUCAAGUACUUAGCCCAUGCUCACAUCUCCUGAUCCAGAAGUCCCUCGGUGUGUCGUCCAGUUGCCUGUGGCCUUUUGGAAAUUCCUCAGUGGCAAACUAAAAUCUUUUGGACUCCCGUGCUCAAGAAUAUCUACAGGCCUUUCCACUCGCUCCUAACUACUGCCGCUUCCUCUCUUCCUCCCUGUGGCAGAGCUCCUAAAUUUUCAUUGCAUGGUCUGGACUUUGGAAAUAAACCCUUUGAACUUGUACUGUGGUCUGCUUCUGCACUUAGGUCCACCUUUUCAAGAAGAAAUUAUGACACAGUGAGGCUGAUAAUUAUGUGGAGGGAGUUCAGCACUCUGAAAGAUUGCUUGGACAAAAAGUUCAACAAUUUAGGAAUAAAAUGAACUAAGCUUAAGAUGCAAAUAAUACAAAGAAAUCUCAGUAUGCAAGAGGCAAGGCUAAAAGCCGAUAAGCUUUAGGGCUGUUAUGUCUGCUUGUUAUCAGCACAUUGUUCAAAGCCCAUCAUGCACAAUAGUAUGGAAGUUCCUUGAUGCACACUUGAGUGAUGUAUACGAUGUCUUUAAAGAAACUCUUGGCUGUGUCAGAAACACAAACUGUAUUCAGCACUCGGUACAAUAACUAGGCUCACUGUGUUAAAUUGGUCUUCCUGCGGUCCAGAAUUUUCAAUCUCUGAAAUCAUUUGAAACAGAAAAUAACAAAAACUACAAAGUUGCUAAAUUCCUGCAUCAAUCUGGAAUUAAUUAAGCAUAAAAUUUUAAAACUAUACUCUACUACAUAUAUAAACUUAGCACAAAAAGUCAGGACCUUUGUGAUUGGUCGAUUAUAUUUUGGUUGUAACAAUGUUUCUUGGCAAUAAAUCUUAUACAGUUGGAAAGUCUGCUUAUUUGCUCUUUAUUUGGAGCCACAUUUGUAAGGAAAAUAAGUUUGUGGUAUGAGCAGCAGAGUUCAGUAUGGGUGCUGCACCCCUGAAAAACUUGCCAGAUCUUCUCUGCCAACGCCAAACAGCUUAUUCUGCUGUUGACUCUUGUUUGGUGUUGUGUACUGGAUUAGAUGAUUAAAGUCUUAAUAAACAAGUCAUAUUGGCAAUUCCAGAAUUCAUUCAUUUAUCAAACAGGGGCUUCAGUAACAUUUAGAAGGACCAUACAGAGCCACAACAGCCUGGCAACUCUUCCUCGUGCAGCACACACUGAUGUAGGAUGGUAUUCCAUUCUUUAACCAGCAUUUGUAGCAGGUCAGCCAAUAUGGUUGUGUUGGUCACUCUGGAAUAAACAGCAGCACCAAGCGUAUCCCACAAGUGUUCAGUGGGGUUGAGGUAAGGACUGCAGGCAAGCCAUUUCAUCUACUCCACGCCACCAAAUUCUCGAGGUAGUCAUUGAUAAACCCCGCUCUGUGGGGGCGAGUGCUGUUAUCUUGGAGGAUAGAUUUCACUCCCAGACUGUGGAGAUAUGGGAUCGCCGCUGGUUGCAGAAUCUCUCUGCUUUGAGAUUGCCUCCAAUGAUGACAUGCCUUGUUCUUCCCCAACGAGGGCUGCCCGAUACGACACACUGUUCUCCAUGUCUUCUCCACACUUUGACACUACGAUCCAACUGCCCACAGGCAGAAUCUGGAUUCGAGCCUGCCAGUGAAGGGUCAUGGCAAGCCUCCUGUUAGCCCCAGGAGAGUGGAGAUUGGCUGUGUGCAGUCUGUUGACAUCCCCGAUCUGUGGAACUUGGCCUUCAGUUUGGAGAUGAUAAGCUACUGGGGCUCACUUUAAAUAAUACUGCAACUUAGUUUUCCAGAGCAGCUUGAAGUCGCCUUGAUGCACCAAAGAAAUAAUCGAUCAAUCACAAAUGUCCUUGAUUUAUAUCAUUAAAAAUAUGUAUAAAUAUAAAAAUCUUACAAACACAUUCCAACUAUUUUGGAAAUUGUGUUAUAAUUACGCUAAGAUGCAAAGGUUUAGUAAUGCAUACGGCAUAACUUAUGUGAAAAAACACCACCUGAACAAUGUCUUCAUAAAUAAAUAAAUAGGUUAAGCAGAGGAUCUGGGUGUCAUAAGAGAGGUAUUGAGAUUUUAAAAUUUUCCAAAGAGUAUUACUGGGCAAGUAGUACAUAGGAGCUGUAAGGUAAAUGGUUCUGUCCGUGCUUUGAUGCAUUGAGUGUUCACCAUUGCUAUAAAAACAACCCGAGAAUUUUAUGCUUAUGGUUAAACAUCACUGGCACACAUUUAGUCCACUUAACCUCUGACCCCACUCUUCUGCAUAACAAAAAGCUUGCAGUUAUGCAACCAUGAAAAAAAAAAACCCAAAAGCCUCACGUCCUAAAAUCAACAGUGAACAUGUUAUCAAUACAUUUGUAUUUAAUAUUCUAAACUAAGUAUGUGCACUAGGAUGAUGUAUGUGCACAACAUCAGCACAGUGAGGCUUCCUUAAUGACACACGACAACCAGAGAAGAUUUAUUAAAGAAAUGUUCUUCGUGAUUGUUUUGGACAGCUGGGUAUCAAAUGAAAAUUUAAAUACAACAUUUGACUUACAAAAAUUAUUCCAACCAAGCAGGAAAAAACGCCGAUGGGGUCCCCAGAUUAAACAAAAUGUGCAAGCCAGCUUCUGCAUCUCAGUGCUUGUAGAUAAACUUUUGGCUAUCGCUUUGCUACAAAAUGCCUGUGGUGGUUUGAUUCUUGAGAUGGACUGUACGUUGCUGUGAUUUCAAACGAGUGGGAGAGUGGCUGUUCCCAGAGCAAAGCCGGAGCUGACUCAGGCACUCUAACCCCUGCGCCCCAAAUCACACAGCGCUGCUAUCUGCCAGAGGAUACAAUCAAGGAAACACAUCAAAGUUCAGUCUCUGGAGCUGAUUUGCUCACACGCGUGCCUACAAUAUGUGCCGGCAUGUAAACAGAAACACGUUUAUUGAACCGCUCGCUAAUUGCACAUGAAUACUCGGUAGCAUGACUCAUAAUGGAAGUGCAAUUAGGUCUCUAUCACUGGCUUUGAACCAAACACUGCUCCGACUCGUAUGCGGCAAUGGCGCUUUCAACUGCAGCCCAUCCACGUGCUUGUUUGCCUGAUCCCACCUGAGGGAUGGUCUGUGGGCUUCCUGCCCACCUGAAUGUCAGUACCUCCUCCACCCCCCCAGCCCCCACUCAUUUUUGUCAACUAUUUCAACUUCUCAUUUACACCCCAACCUUCCUGCUUCUAUUAGUGGUGCAGUCAUGUGUGACAUCAGUUGGGAUACAGUCCAAUGCCUGGGCUGGAGUCCAGAACCAAUGUGCAUUUUACUCCUGAAUAGGUGUGCGUGCACGUGUAUCUGUGUGUUUAAAAGCGUUUCUGAUAUUUGCUCAGCUUGAAGAUCCUCUCAUGUUGUCUGUAAUCGCUUGUAAUAAUGUUGUUCAGGAACAUUCUUAGCCUCCCUCCGCCCGCGCUAUCCAAACUGGCAGUCCAGUCUGUCUCAGAUCUUGUUGACAUCUGACGACAGCCAAGCUUGACAUGUGCAUCCAUAUUAAUGAGACCAUUAAGUCAUUUAUUCGCCAGCUGAUUUACAUUGCACAGGGGGAGAGGUCCUGAAUCAAAGGGAUUUCAAAACAUUUCACAAAAUUUGAAAAUCAGAUGAGUCAAGCCGUUUAUUUCUCGAGCAUAAUGUGGCUUUUGGCCCUAAACUUCAUUUAAAUCCUGAUUCCUUCAUUAGGCAAAUAGCGAGAGUGGCUGCUUCUGCACUAAUUCAAUUUGCUGAACACAAAAAAAAAGAUUGAAGCUUGUAUGUCGGCACGUGAGCACAUGCAUUAAGUACAGCCUCAAACAAAUCAACAUAUUCAUAAGCGUGUGAGCAUGUACAAACAAUAUGAAUCCCCUCAUAUUAAUCUUCUCUUCUUGGCCAGGACUCACUAAAAUCUUAUCUACUUGUCUGGUUGUCUCUGGCCUCGAGGGAAGAAUGUGCAUGUAGCAGAGCCUGGCGGAGCAGAGCAGAGCAGGAAAGACGAAGUCGGGAUUUGUAUGCGACAGGAGGCACCUUUAGGAGGAGUGUGUCUGGUCUGUCUGACGCUCAGUGAUUCUCUGCGGGUAGGGAGCAGAAGCUCGCUCAGUUGGAGGAAAAGACUUAUGAGCUUUAUUGAUCACAAGCUCAUACAGCGGGUGGAGGAAAGGCUGGUUGUGAGGGGUGGGGGUUCUCCCUCUGAAUAAAACAGAGCUUUUCUUUUUUAAAUCAAGAUCGCAACAGGUGAGGUAACUGAAGAAUUCAUCAGUGUCAGAGAGUAAAUUAAAAAGAUAAGCUCAGCAGGAGCAUUUGUUUGUCUUCUAAAAAAAAAAUCUAAUAUGUUCUGUUAUCGAGUCGGUGGACAAACAUCAGCCUGCGCAAAUCUGGCUUGUAUCACAUCCACCAGAGGAAGAUUAUGACAUCAGUAUCGCUGGAUUUUAGGGAGCCACAUCACUGGAACAAAUGACGCACGCUCGGUUGGACAAAGCACGUGAAAAUUGUAUGAUGGGCCUCCGGUUCACUGGCGUGCGAUGAGAUUAUUGCAUGCUUCUGCUGCUCAGGUCAACCUAGUGAUGACAGUUGUACUUUUAAAUAAUCCAUCACAGCAGCAGCUCUCACUGUUGGGUUUGAAGGAGUCACCACAAGAUUUAUGUCCAAUUGUUGGGUUUUGAUGCGACCUUGGUGAACUGCGUGGAAGUAAACGUGAACACAAACUCGCCUUGUCCCAAAGUGCACUGGAAGGUUUUUUACUAACUAAUCUGUGAGUUUGGAGUUUGAACAUGCCUGUGGGGAGUUUAGGACUUUUAAAAAACAACUUUUAUAUCAGUUUUUAUUUUUCCUGUUUUAGUAGAUGUCUGCAUAUGCGGUGACCUGCAAAAGAGCUCAAGGUGUAGGUGGUAAGUCAUAGAGGUAGCUAAAGUGACUGUUUAACCUAAGAAGCUACUCCACAAGAAAAGCACAAUCUUUUCAUUUUGUUACCAACAAUACAUGUGCAACAAUGUGUGUGCGCAUCCUUCUGGGUGAAUUGUGCAGCCUGUGGCCUGCCUAGCUGCAGACUCAUCAACUCUGCAAUAAGUUUAGUAAGCCAAACUGUUGAAACACCAUUUGCAGUACCUGUCUAUCAGAGUUUUACCAGACAGCCUUUCUGGAGCUCUUCAUGCUUUCUACGGCAUCUGUUGGUAUAAACAAAGCCUCUUAGAAAGAGUCUCAUCGCAUGACAGGUAUAUAAGUGAGCACAGAAAGCUAAUAUCUGAGAUUCACAGUUUUUAUACUCUACAAUACUAAAAGUAUUCACUCACCCAUUGUUCCAAUCACUUACCCAGCCACAGGUGUAUAAAAUCAAGAACCCAGCAUGCAGACUGUUUCUAUAAACAUUUGUGAAAGCAUGGGUCGCUCUCUGGAGCUCAGUGAAUUCCAGUGCGGUAUGAUGAUAGGAUGCCACCUGCGCAGAUCCAGUCCAGUUUCUCACUACAAAAUAUUCCAUAGUUCUAGUGGUAUUACAAGAAAGUGGAAGCCACAUAAAAACAUAGAGCAGGGUCAGCAGAUCCUGAGGCGCAUAGUGCUCAGAGGUCACCAGCUAUCUGCAGAGUCAAUCACUAAAAUUUCCAAACUUCACAUGGCCUUCAGAUUAGCUUAAGAGUAGCUGAGUGCAUAGAGAGCUUCAUGAAAUGGGUUUCCAUGACUGAGGAGAUGCAUCCAAGCCUUACAUCACCAAGUGCAAUGCAAAGCGUUGUGGUGGAACACAGUGGAAAGGCCACUGGACCCUAGAGCAGUGGAGAAGUGCUCUCUGGAGAGACGAAUCACGCUUCUCUGUCUGGCCAGCGGCUCCUUCCUGUUCCAACCUGACUUCGCACCUGCACAGAUUCCUGACCUCAACUCAACAGAAACACCUCUGGGAUGAAUUAGAGUGGAGACUGUGAGCCAGGACUCCUUGUCCAACGUCAGUAUGUGACCUCAGAAAUCCACUUCUGGAAGAAUUGUUAAAAAAUCCCAUAAACACUCUUAAACCUUGUCAAAAUCCUUUCCUGAAGCAUUGAAGCUGUUAUAGCUGCAAAGGAUGGGCCAACAUCAUUAGACCCUUCGGUUUAAGAAUGCGAUGUCACUCAAGUGUAUAUGCGUGUGAAGGCAGAUGAGUGAAUACUUUUGGCAAUAUAGUCUGUGUUGUGCGUGUUUGUAUAUGGGA